Camelus dromedarius (Arabian camel) is the source of this 823-nucleotide long non-coding RNA. RefSeq lists it as uncharacterized. NCBI's taxonomy places the organism in Eukaryota, Metazoa, Chordata, Mammalia, Artiodactyla, Camelidae. The record is from RefSeq and is a predicted model, not a curated record. The transcript is spliced from 3 exons.
CUCUAAUCUCACCUAGACAUACAGUUGUAAGGUUUGAAAUUCAGAAUUACAAGUCCUCUCACAUUGUUCUUCUUUUUCAAGUACGUUUUGGUUACUGAGACCCUCGAAUUCCCAUAUGAAUUGUAGCAGCAGCUAGUCAGUUUCUGCAGAGGAGCCCGCAGGGAUUGUGAUCGAGACCACGUUGAAUAUACGGAUCGUUCUGGGGAGCACUGCCAUUCCAAGAGCACUGUCUUCUGAUCCAGCAAUGUGCGUGGUUUGUCUGUCCAGGUGCCCUCACCUCCAGUAGCAUCCAUCCAGACACCGGAACUGACACUGGCCGUGCUCAGAACUGCCUCAGCCCUGAAGACACAACUGACAAAUAGAAGGGGGCCACGCCCUGUUAGAGCAGGUGCUCUCACUUUGUGGAUCCUUAUGUAACUGAGCGGUGUCAAUCAGGAUUGCCCGUUUUACAUUGUGUGGCGCUGCUGCGGUGUCUCCUAGUUACUUGUUUCUUGUGAGAAUGCCGGUGACUGAGUUAGAAGCAUGCUCCCAAGCUGUCCGUGUCCUUGCCAUUCAGAAGCGGACCCUGGAAGCUUCCAAAUUUCUCCAGAAUGCGUUCUACAUUCACCUUCGGCAGGUGAGUGUAUGUCUUUACACAAGUGGAGGAAUUACUGCCGUUUUCCUGGAACUUACUCACCACUAGUCCAUCUGAUUUUUCUGUGCUAGGAUUCAGUAUGGCCUGCUAAAAUAUCUGGAGUCAGAUCUUGAAACACUGAUGAAGAGGAUCAUUUAUUUUAUUUCUAUAUAUGAUAGCCUUUUACUUUCAAAAUUCAGAAUUUUUGGU